Molecule: small nucleolar RNA, 147 nt
Filed under: Exophiala xenobiotica
Lineage: Eukaryota; Fungi; Ascomycota; Eurotiomycetes; Chaetothyriales; Herpotrichiellaceae
Source: RNAcentral
UGUCGGGCUGAUAACUAGGCGGUGGUUUCGGUUUGCUCAACGACCUUUGCCCUUUAAGUGCCCGAGAGAUGGAGAUCUCGGCGGUCGAUCUUACACAUUUGCUUUCUUUCAUCGUGUUUGUUAUAUGUUUAAUCGACCGCAACAUUC